Ictalurus furcatus (blue catfish) is the source of this 1420-nucleotide long non-coding RNA. RefSeq lists it as uncharacterized. The transcript has 3 exons. NCBI's taxonomy places the organism in Eukaryota, Metazoa, Chordata, Actinopteri, Siluriformes, Ictaluridae. The record is from RefSeq and is a predicted model, not a curated record.
ACGUAUUUACACUGGGGUUGGGAUCUAGGGUUAGCUUAGGACGCAGAGGAGGAUUUCCCAGGAGGAAAUGGGAAAGGGGGAGGGAAACCCCACCCUGAUUGAAGAUGGAUUGCAACUAAAGCAAAUGAUGGAUAAAAAAAAAAUAAAAAAAAAUUGACGACUGCUCAAGAUUUCACGCACGAGAGAAAAAGAAAUACAAGGCAUGCACAUAUGUCAAUUGCUGUGAGGACACUGCAAACCUAUACCGGACAUUAAAAAUCUUAGAGGAACAUGAUGAUGAUGAUGAAUGCGAUCCUUUUGAUGGUCUACAGUCUUAACGUGAACUUCUCAUCUACGUACUGCUCUGCCGAACACCUGGACUCGAGUCUGGUGGAGGGUAGCAGAAAACGAAGGCCGCUCAUGCAUAAUUCAUCAAGCUCGUGACUACAUCAUGCAAGACCGAGUAAGAUGCCCUCUGCAUGUUCCCAAGGCUAUGGAGAUCAUCUCUGUAAACAAGAUAAGGUAAAAAUAGACAUGUUGUACAGACAGAGUUUUUUUUUUUGUUUUUUUUGCCUCUUAUUAUUUUCUCUUCUAUUAAUUAUUCACCUUGGAAAUAGAAUGAAAAAAAAAAAAGAAGAAGAAUUUUAAAAUCCAGUGAAACUUGAAUGUGGAAAAAACUUUAUGACCUCCAUCGCUACAUAACCGGGGGAUUAAAACACCACAGACAUGAAGAUAUUACCUAAUUCCAAUGUAUAUAUGGUCUCUAACUCCCUUACAAACAAUGAUAACCGAUCUGUUUCAUAUUUUAAAUUGAGCUCUGCUUUUUAUUUUUAUUUUUAUUUUUUCAUUUUAACAAUGGAAGUGUCAUGUUUUUGUGUGACACAUGCAAUGAAUCAAUAUAACACGUUUGUAGAAUAAAUCACUAUUGAUAACUGUUGUGUUUAACCGUUAGUCUGUUUUAAUGUAUUUAUUUAGUUUUACCUCUAGCGUGUGAUGUUCAGAGUAGUAUUGGUUUUGUCGAACACAAAUGCUACAAAGUAUGAAGAACAAAUAGAAAACACACAGUCAAAUUCUCACAUUCUUCUGAAAUAGCACUGGUUCAUGUCUACAGCAGAUUAACUAGAAUAAUGAACAUGAGUAGUGGAAAAACAAACACCGUUUAAAUGUUCAUGCCUGUCUACACAGCUCAUGAUGAACAAAACCUUCCAGUGUGUGCGUUACAAAUGUACUUGCUGCAACUGGUACACGCAGAAGGUGUUUUAUUGUUGGUCUGUUGGAACGCACUCCUUGGAAAGCUUCCUCUUUUUCACAAUGGUGAAAAGUCUUUGUUAGACAACUAAUACUCCUAAAAUGUUCAUAGAUACACGUGCAUGUGCGAAAACACACCACAUAGACUGAUCGCAAAAAAGUCACUCACACUUACUUUAUGCACAGGAAGUGG